RNAcentral lists this unclassified non-coding RNA (16577 nucleotides) under Leishmania donovani. Its description in RNAcentral is "gene:LdHU3.31.2000(CDS-product:Protein_of_unknown _function_(DUF3638)/Protein_of_unknown_function_(DUF3645)/Z n-finger_in_Ran_binding_protein_and_others_putative)". Lineage: Eukaryota; Euglenozoa; Kinetoplastea; Trypanosomatida; Trypanosomatidae. The record is from RNAcentral.
AGCAAAGGAGAGAAGCAAGCAACGAAAAAGUCCGUCGCGCGUUUCACCCCCCGAAAAAUCGGAUUUUUUUCCCUUUUGGAUCCCUGCACACUGAUUCGACCAUUCCCUUGAAAGUCCCCUUCACGCCUCCGCCACUCUUGUUGUUCUGCAUCCUCUUCUACUAUAUGGUGACAUACCUUUGUUGAAGCCGACGAGCUGCCACGCCCCUCCCCCCUCCCACAAGCAACGUUCUUGUUCAUCUAGAAGUCUGCGCGGACGUCUGACGCUCUCCUACGAGGGUCGAAACGAAGCGCCUUCAAAGAGGGUACAAACACACUCGAAAAAAAAAACAAAAUCAAGUAGUGAAGGCGAAGACGAUCACAGAGAAGGAGGAGGAGAGAUCGGCGUACGCAUCGAAGUGCCUUGCGACUUGUUGCCCUUUCUUGCCCCGUCCCGACCCCCCCCCCCCCCACACACACACACACGCAUACAUCUUCUCCAGCCCACCUCAUUACUUCAAAAGGAGAAACAAAGAGAGAACAGAAAAGACAAGAACGAGAGAAAGUGAGAGAGGGACUUUUCUUGUCUACGGACAGCAGCCGUGCUGUGCUCCAUCGUCGUCAUCCCCGUUUUCGUUGUUCGUUGCUGUUUUUUUUUUUAUUCUGUCCGCCUUGCGUUGUGCGCCUUGGGGAGCUGUUCUUUGCUUUCCUUCCUUUGCAUUUUCUUCCUCGCGGCUCUCUCGCGGAAGCACCGCUUCUGUUGUUGUUGUUAUCUGCGGGGGAAGGGGCAGCCGUCUGUCUCGUUGCACCGGAGCCGGAAGAGAACACCACAGGUAGAGCUGCCAGUGGUGGUUGCGUUUCUGUGUUUGUGCUCUCAGCAUCGGCUUUCUCUCUCGUUUUCAUCCUUGACUCCCUCUCACUUUCUUUUUGCAUGUAUCUUGUGCACCCACCCUUCACUGCUCAGCAAUCUCCACCGGAAGACUGCGAGCCUCUUACCCGCUGGUACAUGCCUACCCCCCCCCCCCCCCCCACACCUCCCCCCUCCCGCCUGCUGACACUCCGCAUUUAAAAUGCGCAUUGAAGUGAAGUUUGGCUCUGCAAAGCACGACAUCGAGGUAGCGGAGGAUGCGACGCUUGGAACCCUCAAGGCAGCCAUCUACGAUGCCACCAAUGUCCUUCCCCCACUGCAGAAGCUGCUGGGCAAGCCAAACCUGCAAGCGAAGCCGGAUGACACGUUGUUGUCUGCCCUGGGGAUCAAGGAGAAGACGAAGCUGAUGCUCAUCGGGUCGGCGGCAGCGGAGGUGGUCAAGGCCAACGCGCCGUCGGCGGAGGAGAAAAAGAAGGAGGAGGAGCGAGAGCGCCGGCUGCGCAAUCUGCCCUACCGAUUUUGGCGCCUGCCCGCGUAUGGCGGCUUCCUGGCGGACCCGUAUGUGGGUGGCCGCGGCGAGCCCUUGGAGGGCGGCACGACGCUCCUGACACUGCUUUGCAUGGAUGUCAUUCUCUGCCGUCUCAAUACCUCGGCGCAGGCAGCAGGCCCAACCCGUCCGCCGCCAGCACGAAGCUGCUACAGGCGCUGGGCCAGAGGGGUGCCGCCGAAGUGUCUCACCCUUUUCUGCAGGACAUCUCUGUCGAUCUGCGCACCGCCAUACAGCGCGCACACGGCGCUAUCCGCUCCUGUUACGACUUCACGGUAGAGGCUAGCAAGGCGGUGCAGCCGGCGACCGUUCUGGGGUGGUGGACAGGUGCGUGCAUCGCAUCACAAGCCUGCCGACCGGGGAGUGGACGAUGAUCCCAUCUGGCUGGAUUGGCACUCAUUCGUACACCAUUAUGUUUCUUCUCGUGCACCGCAGGGCAGCUGAGGUGUUUGACUUUGUUGUCGUCAAUCGCGGCAGCGAAGGGCAGGGCUACCACCCGCGCUGGCAGACGGCGGAGAAGAUAUUGAGCUGCCCCAUUCUCAAGUUCCAGGACGUGUCAUCGACUCGGCUGCAGGACAAAACGUUUUGGCUGCUGCUGCUGUCGCUGUGGAUGCGGCGCAACGACCCGCAGAACCAGUCAGAGUUCAUCCGUGCUGAGGUGUUCUACGAUGUGUUGCUGCCGUGGCUGGUGGAGAAGCUGCCGGAGGGGCGACGCCACGAAGACGACGUGAACUCGAACAGGAGUGGCCAAGCCGGCUCCCUGCAUCUGACGACCACCCGCUUCACCACCGAGAUGAUUCUGCAGAUGACAGGCGGCGCAGCGGAUAGCGAGCAGCAGAUGUCGCCCUCGCCUGCGUCGUCGACCGACUCGCCAUUCACACCGUUCAUCCACCGUAAUGCGGCGAGCCCCAUCUGCAGCUCCUCCAGCGGCAUCAAAUCCGUCAUCACCGCCUUCUGCUAUAUCCUAGAGCAGUACUACCCUGCGUUGACGGCUCUUGAGAAGAAGCGCAUCAAGUACGUGCUCAAGUACGAGUUCUUUGCGCGGGCUGCCGAAGACCUCUCGCGCUACUCGCGCCGCUUUCUGACCGACUCGACUUCCCUGACAUGCGCCGACAGCGUCCAGACCGCGCCGACGGCAUCCAGAUCGCCGGCACCGAGCACCAAGGACGCGCAGCUGCGCGCUGCGCUUGGCCGCCUCAAGGCCGCCGGCAUCAACGACACGGCCGCCAACCUGUCCUUGGGCGCUGUUUGGCUGCGUCUCACAGACAAUCGGGUGUACAUCAAGGACAAGCAGAACAAGAUCUUGCCCGACACCGACUUCCGCGACAAGAUGGUGCUGUUGUUUGUCGGGAGCCUGAGGGUCCCGAGUGGCAAGGAGACGUCGACGCUGCUGGCGGAGGCAGUGACAGUGAUGAAGCAGAAGUGCGGCCCCGACGCCGUCGAGGUCAUCUUCCUCAGCUGCGACGAGACGCAGGAUGACUACGAGGAGCACUGCGCCCUCUUCGACUUUCCGCGUGCUACGUACCCGUGCGUUGAGGUGCUCAACGCGAUGGAGCUGGUCAAGGUACCGGAGCUUCUCGUCUUUCAGAGAGACGGAGAGCUGCUGCACCGGCAGGGCAUCUCAGCGCUUCAGUCCGACCCUGAGGCGGCUCAAUUCCCGGACGGUCCAUGGAAAGGCGCGGUCCCUCUUUCUGCCACAGACGUGCAGCUACUACGCGUUGGUGCGAGUCAGCUGGCGCACCACACGAAGAAGCGACUGGACCGCGGUCAGCCUCCGGUCGCUGACAGUGAUGCCGUGGUGCAACACGUUGUGGAGCUCGUGCACGCCGUCGAGGCAGUGGUUGACGCACUCCCGCAGGACGACGUGCAGGAGCUGAUUCAGGCAGCCAGCGAGGUGCGGACCAGCACGACAGCGAGCGCCGCAAGCGUCACGGGUGGCGCAUCCACAGCAUCGUCAUGCCCGCAGCGUACGGUGGACGCCAUGGUGCAGGAGCCCAUCGACGUUGCUCGCGAAGGUGUCUUCCAGAACGCUGAGCUCCUCCCCAAGGUCUCGGUCGCCGCUUACUACGGCCCAGCUUUCCAGUCGUCCGUUCCGUCCUUGCCUGACGUCCAUGGCCUGACCAAGGCGACAAACUACGCCGAGUUGUUCGCGCUCCUGCCGCGCGUGCGAAGCGUCGUGGAGACGCUGUGGAGGCGCGCCGGCAACAGCGGCACCGCCUCUCGCGUCGCCGUACAGCUGCAGAUUAUCGAGUUCAUCACGUGGAUCUUCUCCACGCUGAUCCCUGUGCCCCUGCCCGCGAGCUACACCAUCGAUGCCGUGCCGCAAGAGGAGCGGUGGUGUGUGUCUAGCUUCUAUACGGAGGACAUCAUUCCACCAGCGCUGCAGUCGCCCGUGGGAGAGGGAGGUGUGGUGCCGCACCCACAUGCCGCCGACCCGCAACUGACGAUGUUGGAGUGCGUGUACUACCUAAUGCUGUCGCUGGUGAAUGCCUGGCAGGCUGUCGAGACGCCGACGCGCAGCUUCGAUGCGGAGCGGUGUCUCAUUUCGAUGGACAUGCUGCUCGUCUUCGAUGCCAUUCUGCGGCAGGUGAAAGGUAGCGACAAGUGCCGCAUGAUUUCCAUGCUGCUGAACACCGGUGGCGGCUGCGGCUAUUUCCUUUCCACCACGCAGGGCAAGCAGAACAUCGCCUUUGCGUCCGUGGCAGCGGCACUGCAGCUGACUCGACCGCGCCUGCUCCCAAUUCGCUCCGCCAUGCUGCGGUACAUUGAGGAGCAGCAGAAGAUGCGACCCGGCCAUGAGCUGUUCGACCUGCGGAUGCCGGACAAGCUGGAGCUUUUCAAGGGCAGCCACACCGUCGACUUCCUUAAAUCAGUGCUGGCCAACGCAGGAUACUCACUGGAGCAGUCCGGGGGUCUCUUUGGCGGUGGCUCGUCGGAGAUGGAGAAGCUGAUGGAGUGGCUCUGCAGCAACCGCUCACCGCUGGCGAAGGAGCAUCCGGCAUUCGGAAUGAUGCGAGACAUGACGCUGCUGGCGAAGUUUAUGGGCACCAUGGAAAUGCGCGACGCACAGUUGCUGCACCGCCGCAAGGAGCUCGACGCACUCGCCUCGUGGCGCAUCUCGUUCGAGGAGGACGCACCAGGGCGGCAGAUGAGCGCCGGAUGGCGAACCCGCCCAGCACCGCCGCGGUGGGAGUGCCUAAUGGUGCGUGGGCGUGACAUGGACAUUGCCGACAUCGCCGUCAAGGGCUUUGGCGACCGCGAGGUCAUGUACGGCGAGGGCCUGGCGCUGCACUCGCCCAUCGACGUGUCACGAAUGAUUGAGGUGGACCACCCCACCGAGGACGACGUGCUGCACGCAAAGGUGCUGCCGACGUUUGCCGGCACGAUGAAUGUGGAAGAGUCGGAGGUGCUGCUGUCAUGCCUGACCGCGCCGUAUGUGCGGAUCCCGCUCGUCCUCGACUUCUUCGCUUCGCAGGACCGGCAUACAUACCUGUUUGUGUACGAAGUGCAAGAGGUGUUGCGUGCGGUGCUGUUCGAACCGGCUGCGUACGCCUCUCCGGCCGUGUUGAGCCACGCCGAUCCCCGUUCUGUCCCUAUGCGGCUGAGCAAGGAGCAGCGCGAGAUGGUGGAGCUGCGUCGGCUACGCGGCGACCUGAGCCAGCAAAACUACGAGGACUGCCUUGGAACCACGUAUGGGCUGCUUAUGAGCGAGCUGACGCACGCGCCGACCAGCGUGCUUCGUCCGCUGCGGAGCCUCUUGGAGAGCAUCACGGAGCUCGGCCCCAGCUCCGUGUACAGCAGCAAUGCCUCCUACGUCCUCUUUGUCGUCGGGCUGCUGUGUGAUGUGCUGUCCUUUUGCCGCUUCAUCGCCUACCAACAGCGGGAGCGGCAGGCGGAGGCCCCCCGCACGGCACCGGCUGCCUCGCCAAAGACGGAGGAAAGCGAGGAGGCGGCGGAGAGCCGCCGCAGCGAGGGCGCCUUGGGCGUCAUAGAGGAGUAUCACCGCCACUUUCUGCAAUUCUUUGUCGCCACGGUGCAGCCGUUGUUGUGGGCGUGGCUGGAGGAGAGUGAGGAGAACACCGACACGCCGACGCAGUGCGUCAUUCACGCCCACAUGAGUCGGGUGGACCGCGCGCUAUGGAAGGGGUACGACUCACUGUCGGCGUCGGCGGCGGCGGCGUCUUCUGGCGCGGGCGGUGGGCAGCAUGGCAGUUUUCGGUCCGGGGCAACCAGCGCCGCGCCUGCGGAGGACCCGCAUGCGCACCUGAUUCGCAUGCUCCGAUCGUAUGCGUUUGUGCGAGCACGCCACGGGUUUGGCAUGGGCAUGCAGCGCAGCCAGCUCGCGGCCCAAGAGGGAGACAGCUUGCUCACGCCGGAGGAAAAGAUGCUGCGCUUCCUGCAGGCACAGGGCUUGAACACGUCGCGCGUCUCCAAGGAGCUUCUUGAGCAGGGCAAGCAGCUUAUGAUGAGUGGCGGACGUCGCCGCGCUGUCUUUGUGCAGAUUCGCAGCCGCAACUACAACGACACGGUGCGCGUUCCGAACUUGAUACACAGCGACCCGAGCAGCACGACCGAGUCGAAGCUGCUGAAGCUGCCGCCAGCCGAUGUGCCGGAAAAUGUACUCUUCUGCGACCUGCUAGAGGAUCACCAUCUGAUCACGUCAUUUCUGGACGAGAUGACGCCGCAGCGGCGCGGCGCGGUGCUCUUGUCGAUCGUUCAGUCCGUUCUCCGCGACCACACCGAGUCUGCAGGUGAUGCGCCUGCCUCAGGAACACUGCAAGACCGCAGGCGCCUUCGCCGCAGCCGCUCCACGAGCGUGUCAGCCCGUGCAAGCGCCGUGAACCUGGAUGCUAUGAUGGACGACGAUGACGAGGACCACGCCCCUCACGAGCGCUGCUCGCAGCGCGAGGAAACGCCGCUGUGGUCCAUCUCGGCUCCUGGCGUCUACAAAGGGCCGGCGUCGAGCGGGCUCUUCUUCCAUGCUCAGACGUGCGAGUUGUUUUGGCGCAACGACGAGCUGAAGCCCGUCCCGGACAGCAUGUCGCACUUCACCGACUUUGAAAACAUCUUGGGCAAGGACACCUUGCAGUGUGGCCUGGUGAGUCGCCACGACACCGGCACUGGGUGCAUCUGGUGGGCACGCCGUACGACGUGAUUGAAUGGACGGCACCGCCGGACCUGUCCGAUCAAGGUGUGCAUCACCCGUUUGUAUUGCCGGCAACUGGCCAGCGGAGUCGGUCGAGAGCGCGCUUUUCGAGAGCGUCACCUACGACCGUGUCAUCGCUGUGGACGACGACAACCCGUGGCCGCACAAGGAGGAGCGGUGGGCUGUCAACAUGCUGCGAGACAUUCUGCGAGCCGCGUUCCCGAAUGGGAUGAGGUUCUACCCUCUGGCCCCUGCGCUGUCGACGGUGGCAGCCAGCGACGUCGGCAACGAGGAGGAGGGGGAGCGCCUGAUGGUGCCUGCGCUGCACCACUACGAGAUGCGCUUCCUCAUGAACGACGCCCCCCAGUACGAAAGCGACACCGAUCGGGCAACGUGGAAGGAGGCUGUAGCCUACCGUUACCCGCAGCCGCGCAUAGAAAUAUACAACCUCGUGCCGCACGCCCGCAAGCUGUACCGCUCGCUUGUCUACAGCACAAACCAGCACUACUGCUUGCACAGUAUGGCGCUGCUGACAGGGACACGCACGCGCGAGUCGCUGGCGGUCACGGCAUUUCAGGCCGGCGAACUGAAGAGGCGCAUCUUCAACGAAAGCACGCUGGAAAUCCACCGCUACAACGAGGCAAUCCGUGGUCGUGAGGUGUACAUUCCGGCAAGGCUGCUGCAGGGGCUGAUUCCGAGUGUGCUGCUGGAGUCGUUCUUUAUGUGGCAGGGCGAGGACGAUGUGCUGCGCGGGUACCCGCUCUCGGAGGAGAACGAGACUGCCUCCGUCCUGCCGGACGCCGCCGCGUCUGGGGCCGGAAAGCGCAAGCCAGCGCGGGGAGAGGUGAUGGACCACUGGUUCAACUACAGCAUCGAGGUUCACCUGCACUUGGGCCGACGUGGUAGCGGUGCAAUUGGUGAGGCUGCCUCAUCACCGGCAACAUCGUCGGCGUGUGUGGUGGUGCGCCGCAAUGACAAGGGCCACUCUGCCAUCGUUGAGGAGAAGCGGCGGCAUCGUCGGCUGACGCGGCAGCGGAUGCGGCGCGCACCAAGACCAUGGCGGAGGCGCAGGGUGCCGCGCACCGCCUCAUGCUGGAGCGCGCCACGAGCGGCGACGGCUCGAUGGAUCUGUCGACUGACGCUCUUCACGCAAACGAGGAAGACGAGAGCGGCGGUGACCCAAUACGGAUCGCUGACGCCGAUGUGGCGCUGCUUCACGAGGCACUUUCUCACCUCCCCAAGGGCGUGUGCAUGCAGCUGCUGCGGCAGGCUCGAGGCGACAUUGCGUCGGCGUUGACGUGGGCCUCCUCCGCUGCAAACGCAGAUGCACUGCUCGCCAUGGUGAAGAAGGAUGCGAAGGCCAGCGGCGAAGAGGGUGGCAGUAAGAGGCACCAACUAGCGCAGAUGGUAGCGAAGACACAGCGGGCAGUGGAGACGUGCGACUACGUGCUGGUGAACCUCUUGCAUUGUCGGAACCUCUCGUAUCUGCUGCAGAUGCUCACGCGCAUCGAGGACUGCUCUCAUAUUCUGGCGUGGGGCCGUCGCUGCUCAGCUGCGGGCAAGGCAAAGUGCGAUGCUGCUUCAGCGGACGAAGGUGCGGCGCACUCGCUGCGCGUGGAGGACACGACCGACACAGGAACUUAUGUCCAAAUAGAGCUAAUUGAGAUGCCGCGGCUGCGUGUCCGCUUCUACACGAGCACAGACGGCUCAAGCAGUCGCGCUCGACUGUUCCUGGCGGAUCAGCCGGGCUGGCGCCUCGCCGAGUGGGACGACUUCCACACGGCUCGCUGGCGGCAGCUGCGGGCGCUACAAGCGCCGUUUCAGCAGUGUCUUCUCCUUUGCAACAGCACGCGCGAGGUCGCCUUCUUGUGCCCGAACCACGACUUUGCGCCCAUGAAGAUCAGCGACGACCCGUUCAAUCCGAUGCUUCUCUUUGACCGCUCGUCCUACACGUGGAGGGAGGCGGUACCGUCCCCUUUCUACGUCUACGUCGUGCACAGUAGCAGCAGCUUCGUGAUGCCGCCGUCGCUGUCGGCGUCGCUCUACUAUGCCGUUAUGCAGUGUGCGACGCAGCACUACGCAGGCGCCAUGCGCACUCUCGAGUCCUGUUACACGGACAGCAGUUUCUCCACCGAGGAGGGGUUUAUGUUCGCGCUGUUCGAGCGCACCAUGGCGGAUCGCUUCCCCGACGCGUGCGCGGUUCGGCUGAAGCUGGCUCACGCGGUGCAGUACAGCUUGAACACCUACCAGUGGCCGCUGGCGACCGAGCUGUCGGAUUAUUUGAUGACGAAGCACCACGUGGCAGAGGACUGUCGACUGUCGCGCGGUGAGGUUCUAGACCUGCUCAAGCGCUGCGCGCAGGCGACCCCGAUGGUGCGCAGUCAGCUAGAGCUGUAUGCCGGGCUGAUGAAGCUGGAGCACAAGCAAUCAGGCAGGCCGGCAACGGUGCCGGUGGUUGUGCAAACUCCCGCGCUGGAGCGCUGCCGGUUUCCAUGGGAGCGGCUGCUGCUGUACCCGUGGGAACGCAUCGCACCACAGAAGCUAAAGCGCGUCUGCUACCAGCUGCAGAGCCCAGAGAUGGUCAAGGACGAAAAGCUUGUCGAGUUUCUGUGGACAGAUCAGCUGCUCAUGGAUGAGGAAGGUGGUGCAAACACCAAGAAGGGGUUUUACUUUCUCUACUGCAUGAAGCGGAACACAGUGGUGCCGACGAUUGGCGAGGAGCACGUCGGCGUCACCCUUUCGCAGCUGCUCGCCCGCUGGUUCCAGCUGCGGCACUCUCGUUGGGGACGCGAGGAGCAGCAGGGGAGUGAGACGGAGAUGGCACCGUCUUGGUGCAGCACGGUACUGCAGAUGAUGGAGAUGUUCCACACACGGACUGGCCCGCACCGGCGGACAACGCAGAGCGCUACAUCCUCGCCCGCGGCGUGUCGCUGACGGAGGAGUACGAAGCAAGCGAGCACUCCCAUGGGCUGAUCAUCGGGGACCAGGAGACCGCGGUGCGCCGGCGGCGCGGCACCAUUCCGGAGCUCUUCAACGCCAUUCACCGCGUGGCGCAGAAGCACUUCAAGACGGACCACAUUACCGAGGCAGUGCGCGAGGCGCGCCAGAUGAGUCGGCUGCGCACACCGGCGAGCCAGAAGGUGACCGUGCUUAUGAGGGACCACUUGCGUGGCCGCGUGGUGCCAGGCGACACAGGCCGCGAUCAGGUAGAGUUGAAUGAGGCGGACAUCUCAGUCGACUACUUCCAGAAUGACAACGCGGAGGGCGACUCUGCCGCGGCGGCCCUGCGCCGCUCUUCACUGCAGGCCCUUUGCACCGAGCCGCUGAGCUCGCUGCAGCUGGCCCAAAGUGUUAUCGCUGAGGGCGAGCCAGCUGCGCCGCCGGUGUCCCCGUCGGUGUCUGUGCUGCCUUUCGAUCUGCGAACUCAUCCUCUCUCUCGCACCCCGCUGGCGCAGAACAUGCUGGAUCGUCUGGAGGAGGACUCCAUGCGCUUCCGCAGCCAGCAGCAGGCUCAGCGGCCCCGCUACUUCCAGUGCCUCUCCAAGGACAUCGUGCGGGAGCUGUUGACCACCCCAGAUGUGGCGGUCAUGACAGCGUCUCUGGCGACGGCGGUGACGGUGCUGGGCGACUGUGUGCGGCAGCUGCGCGCGCUGGGAGAGCAGGACGCCGAUCGCGUCAUGCGUUUACGCUCGUCGCUGCUGUCUUUGGCGAAUGAUGUUCACCCAAGGUCGUCUACGGAGCCCUCUCACAGCAACAACGGCGUCUCUGCUGCUGGCGCACAGUCGCUUGAUCGCGGACGCCUGGUGCACUACCUGCAGCGAGCGGAACGUUCGCGUGUUGCCGUACCGCUUGAGUGGCUGUGUGCCGGCUUGCUGAGCACUACCCUCCAGAGCGACCUCAAGGCCGAGAACCUCUUUCACGGAUCCCUGCAGCAGAUUCAGGCGGAGCUCAUUCUUCUCAUGCUGCUAAGCAACCGCAUGUACUUUGCGGAGCAGGCAGCGCAGGCGGUGCAGCAGCUCCUCUUGUUCUUGGAGCUGUGCGGACACCUUCGCGGUGUCGUGCCUCCUCACGCGGAGAUGACAGCUUGUGGCAGCAAGAGCACUGUGCAGGCCCGCGCGGCACGCAUUCGUGAGCUGGUGCAGCACUUCUCGCUCGAGAUCGAUCCGUCUGUGCUCCAGCAGCUCACGACAGCAGCGCCAACCAUCACGAACGCAAGUACUGGCACAAGUGAUGCGGAGGCGACAGGUGCAUCGGACACGUGCGUCCCUCUUUCAGAGGACACUCGCCGGACCGUGACUAGCCGGCUGCAGCAGCUGGCGAACGCUGCUCUCGAUACGCUGACGGCACGUCGCACGUACGUCCACAUCCAUCCUGACUUUUCCUCCUCGGCGGCGUCGUCGAGUGCCGGGGGAGCGGCAGGCAAAGCAAGCAACAGCUCUUUCAGAGCAACCCUCGACCCCCGCUUUCUUGUCUUCGAGUUCCUUUUCAACAUUCUCCUGCGUGCCCGCCAGGUGGAGAUGGUGGAGUGGUUUGUGCGCAACAUCCGCGAAGGUCAGUCGCGUGUGCAGCAGAUGAUCAUGGGCCAAGGUAAGACCACUGUCGUGGGACCGCUGCUGGCCCUCAUCCUCGCCGAUGGGCAGCAGCUCAUCACACAGGUGAUGCCGACAGCGCUGCUGGAGCAGACGCGUGGCAUUCUGCGCCGCUGCUUCGGCGUCGUCGUGACGAAGCACAUCUACACGGUGCAGUUCGACCGUAGCAAUGAGGAGGGCACGAGCGAUGGAGUGGAGCUGCUCUAUCAGAAGCUGAAAUCUGCGGAGGAAGACCGCUCGGUGGUGAUCGCCGCACCUGAAUGUGUCAAGUCGCUCUUCCUGAAGGGGAUCGAGCAGCUGCACAUGAUGGAGAGCGUGCCCACGGAGGACAUGGAGCUGGACGAGGCGGCAGAUGACCGCUAUGCUUCUCACAUAAAGGCAUUGCGUCGCAAGAUGAUGGAGCGGUCUGCCCUGGCGGACGCCAUCACGCCGAUUCUGGAAUUGUGGAAGCGUGGUGUGCUGAUUAUGGACGAGGUCGAUGUACUCCUGCACCCCCUGCGCUCGGAGCUAAACUUCCCGAUCGGCCUCAAGCACCCCAUCGACAUGAGCGGCCCUCGUUGGCUGCUGCCUAUCCACCUUUUGGAUGGCAUCUUUGCGAGUCAGCAAGGGAGAGCGUGCGAGGACGUGCAGCGGCAGCUGGAGUGCGGCUCAUCUAGCCAGACUGCUAACUCGGCGCGCUUGGGUGGCUCGUCGCUGGCGGAGAUGAGGGGCGUUCAGGAGGAGAAGCGGCGGUACGCUCUGAGUGCCAUCCGCAGCGUCAUUCUCACCGGUUUCCGCCAGCGCGCCCUUCAGCGAGAGCCGCACUUGGUCUUGCUCGACCCCGGCCACUACUACGUCGAGCAGCUGCUGCCGGUGCUCGUGCCGUGGCUGCAGCUGUGGCUGCACGAGCAUCUGAUGGACCACCUUCCAGAGCAGGAGCGCCAGAACUGGGCCUACGUGUCCUCGGAUGCGUUUGCCGAGAAGACGAAGCCGUUCUUGCUCUCCCCGGUGAAACUCGACGACGCGGAAAGCUGCGUAUCUCGCGAGUUGAACGCGUACAUGCCUCACUACGGUCUGCAGCUGCUGAACCUCGCACACGACUGGCUUCAUCGCUUGCUGCCGCAUGUGCUCGCCAAGAUCGACCGGGUCAGCUUUGGCGUGUUGCAGCCGAACGAUCUGGCCCUCAGCGGUGAUUCAGCGCGGAUUCCGUACAGCCGAAAGAUGACGGCCGUCCCUUUCGUCGCGAAGGACGUGCCGAGCCGCAGCUCUGAGUUCGCGCAUCCGGAUGUGGUCAUCGGGCUUACAAUCCUUGCCUUUCGCUACGAGGGACUACGCCUGCAGGAUGUGAAGGAGCUCGUGACGCAGCUGAAACGCGACUUUGCGCGGCAGGCGGGGCCGAAGGAGCACCGCCCGGCGGCAAAGCUGUACAAGCACUGGCUGCGUCUGAGCUCCUCGGACCGCGCGGCCGCCGCGGCGGCCACCGAGAAGACCGUGGCAGAUGACAACGAGGACGUACUUCGCUCAUUCGAGCGCGCCGGUGUGCCGCUGUCGCAGCUGCAGGUGACGGACAAGGCGCAGAUGCAGUCGCUCUACCACCUGCUGCACGGCGUGCCGGAGGUGAUCCACUACUACCUGUGCUCUACUAUCUUUCCGCGAACGAUGAACUUUCAGCGACUGAAGAUCAGCGCCUGCGGCCACGAGCUCGGCUCCUCGAUGCUAUUCACAAAGAGGAUAGGCUUCAGUGGGACACCGAGCAACAUUCUGCCGCUGGACCUUGGUGAGUGCUUCUACGAACCUGGCAGUGACGGACGUGUGCUGUCGGUUCUCACGAACCCCGAGGUGGUCCAUGCCGAGGUGCUACCGGACAGCUGGACUCCGCUCCGGCUACUGGACCGCAUAGCCGCAGCGCAGCCGCCGUACUCGGCCCUCAUCGACGCUGGCGCUCUCAUCACGAACAUGGACAACGAGGAGGUGGCUCGCUACCUUCUGGCGCGGCUGCCAGCAGCUCUGUUCGAUGGCGUCGUCUUUCUUGACAGGCGGGAUCGGCAGAUGAUUCUGCAGCGAGACAACGGCCUCGUCAUCCCGGUCUCCCAGUGCGGUGUGCCGCUGGCUCGCCGCUUUACCUUCUUUGACCAGGUGCACACGACCGGCACGGAUGUGAAGCAGUCGUCCACAGCAGUUGCCGUCAUCACCUUUGGCAAGGAUCUCGUCUUACGCGAUUAUGCGCAGGGUGCGUAUCGCAUGCGUGGCAUCGGCAAAGGGCAGCGGCUGUGCUUGUAUCUGAUCCCCGAGGUGGUCUCCCGCAUUCAGGAGGCGUUGGGGUCUCGGUACCGCACUGGCGACAUGCUCAAGGACGUUCCAGCGUGGCUCCUCCUCAACUCCAUGAAGGUCGAGAGCCUGCAGUUCUUCAAGCUCUCCCUGCAGGAGCUGGCGAAUGUGUGGCGCAAGAAGGCGGUUGCGCACCUCUUGCACGAUGCUCGGCACGCGAACGCACAUCCAGAGCUCUUUACUGGGUGGAUGCGCUGCCGUCGCUUUCACCUGCCACGACCGGCAGCGGGCACCGGCGCCGCUGAAGCGGGCAAACACGCCAGCUCGGAAGAGGACGCAUCUGCUGCGAUCGCCGAUGCGGCGCUGAAGCUCCCCUCUGUCGACGUUCUCCGCGCUGCUAUUGCUGAGUUCAGGGAGGUGAUCGAAUACCCCGUUGCCGGAAAGAUUGCCCAGGCUCCCUCCUUCAGCGAGCACCUGCAGGAGAUUCUGCAGGCGCGCUCGCAGGAGCUGAUCGAAGGCGACGCCUUGUCGCAGGGGCUGGUGGAGCAGUUGCUUGACCGCAUGCGGCGCAGCAUUCAGGGUUCACGGGCGGCCGCCGAGGGAGGCAGUAGCGCCUCCGCCAAGGAAGCCAGCGGCAAGGGCGCCACUGGGGCUGGGCAAGAAGGGGUGCACAACACGAUGAACCUAAACGCGGAGAUCGUACACGAGCAGGAGGCGGAGCAGGAGCAGGAGCAGGAGGCGGAGCAGGAAGAACAGCGCAUCUCCGCAUUUUCGCGCGACGACGAGAGCCAGAUUGGGUGGGCAGUGGACACGCUCCGGACCUGCGGCACGAUCGCGGCAGACACGGUGCGACCCACACACGGCUGCUGCUUCUACCAGAUGAACACCUUCCAGAUUCGGCCCAGCCAGCCGAAGCUUCAGGUGCCAUCGCAGUACCUCGUGAGCGACAACUAUUUCAGGCUGGACUGGCAUGGCGUGGGAGAACGGCGGCUGAAGAACGUUUUCCUUUUUCUGGAGUGGGUGCCCAUCCCUGCCGCUCUUUCGGCGUCUCCCCCACAAGCCGCCACCGGCGGGUCGUCGUCCGAGGCGGCGACGAUGGUCUGCUCCGGCCUCCUCACUCUCGCGGAGGGCGAGUCCAUGCGUUGGCUCAUUCAUCACUCCCGCUACGUGCAGAGGAACUUCCGCCUGGCGCUGCGCUUCGCCUCGAGCGGCGCCUACAUGGAUGCCACCGGGCCCUUUUCGGCGGUCGUGCACCGCCAAGGCGUACAGGCACUGCGUCACAUGCAGUUGAGCUCGACCAGUUCGUGUGGCGGCGGCUACGAUGUGAGCACGUGCGACGCGGUGGCAGACAGAGCGGUGCUGCUCUACCGUUUCCUGAACAGCGACAUGUUCUAUUCCACCAAGCAGCUUGCCGUAUUGGAGGAGGUGCUAGAAGCGAUGUCGCCGUCCGACCGGCUGCACUUUUUCACGGAGUGUCUGCGGGUGCGCCGGCGCAGUCGCAACCACUGGGAGGAUGCCCCAAUCGCGAUGCUCUUUGUCUCUGAGGCUGAAAAGCCGUAUCUGCGCCAGCUGGCUGUCGGCAAGCGCAUGCAGCAGGGGAUGGAGGACAUGGCGGAGGUCGUGGUGCGUGCCGCGCGUCCGAAAGCGUCGGAGCGCGUGCGCCGCGAGGCGGAGCCGGUGCAGCGGGGCUUUGAGAGCUUCACUGUGGCUCUAUCUCAAGCGCUUUCCGCGUGCGGCGCCUCUGCUGCGUUUUCGGCAGAGCGUGUAGCGGAGAUGCUGACAGAGAGCUUUCCGGCUGUCUUCAAAACGCUCAGCGUGCAGGAGGUGGCACAGUCGCUCUUCUUCCUUGUGCAGCAGAAGCGCGGCGCAGUUGGCUGUUCCGCUGCGUCCGCGCCACCUGCAGCCGCCGCCUCGGCGGACCCAGCGAACUACAUCUCGGCCGAGGAGCUGUUCGCUGUGAUACCGCCCCUGAACGCAGAGGUGCUGCGCGAACGGGUCGAGGCUGCGCACGCGCCUCGCCCGGCUGCAGCUGCAGCGCAGCCCGCCAGUAUCGCUGUGUGGUCGUGUGACGCAUGCACAUUCCAGAACCCGAUCGCGAGCAACAUGUGCUCCAUGUGCAUGGCCCCGAAGCCAAAGUCUGUGGAGUAGCCGAGGAUGCGGCGAUGGCGGCUGCCGUCGAUGCCGCGGCCGGCGGGACUGGGGAGGAGGAUGAGGGCGAUGACGACGGUGCGGACGCGCCAUGGCAGUGUGGGGUGUGCACGUUUAUCAACGAAUCUCGCGCGAAGCCGAUGUGCGAGAUCUGCAUGGCGCCAAACCCGCGUCCACUGAAGGCGUCAGGUGGCGGACGCGCUGAGAGGUCUCCGUUUGGCGGCGGCUUCGAGUGCCCGGAGGGGUACUGGGUGUGCUCGGUGGAGCAUGGCGGCUGCAGCAAGUUCAAUCCCAAUGCUUUGUUCUACUGUCAGGUGUGUGAGAAGGCGCGGCCGAAUCUCGCCAGCGUUCGGUUUUGAUGGGAAGACGCAGGCGAAGCCACGAAGCGGACAAACAGAACAAUAACAAAAAAGGAGGCGGGAGAGGCCCCGCCCUCCCCAAAUGUUUCUUUGUUCCGUGCAGGGGAUGCUUUUGUGUGUGUGUGUGUGAGGAAGGGGGGGGGGCUCUGCUGUGAUGUCGUGCCCGUACGCUGAUGAUGCGCUUCUGCGUGCUGCGGCCUUCCUGUACCUUACCUUUUCUUGCUGUGCUCCGUGCCGUCUCUGACACGUCGUCGUUACGAGCGCACAUAAUGCUGCGGUGCGUCACUCCAAGACGCCGACCCUUUGAUUUUGUCCUCAAAUGGGGCCUCACCCUUCUCUCUCUGUGUAUGUGCUCUGGGCCUGUGUGACCAUGCUGGACGGUGAGGUGGCUAUGGCAAUGCCCCCACCCCUUUUGUUGUUGCAUCCGCCAAUGGGGCGCGCCGCUGUUGUGCCGAUCAGGGAAUGGCCUGACUUGUACUGUACUGCGUGGAGGGAGCCUUCAGGGCGACGGCCCCAAUACGAUCAUGUGUUUUGUGGCGACGGUUGUCUACCUCGCUUUUUGCCUCGUUCCGCUUUGGGUCGCCCCCCCCCUUUAUGCCUCUCCCUAUUCCGUCUACUUGCCGCCUCUUCCUCGCUUGUGUGCGAGUGACGGCCAACGGCGUGCACGUGUGCCUUACACGCACAACCGAACCGAG